AACAAGGAUUCCCCUAGUAACUGCGAGUGAAGCGGGAAAAGCUCAAAUUUAAAAUCUGGCGGUCUCUGGCCGUCCGAGUUGUAAUCUAGAGAAGUAAUGCCCGUGCUGGACCGUGUAUAAGUCUCUUGGGAUGGGGCGUCAUAGAGGGUGAGAAUCCCGUCUUUGACACGGACUACCAGUGCAUUGUGGUAUGCUCUCAAAGAGUCGAGUUGUUUGGGAAUGCAUCUCAAAAUGGGUGGUAAAUUCCAUCUAAAGCUAAAUAUUGGCGAGAGACCGAUAGCGAACAAGUACCGUGAGGGAAAGAUGAAAAGAACUUUGGAAAGAGAGUUAAACAGUACGUGAAAUUGCUGAAAGGGAAACGCUUGAAGUCAGUCGCGUUGGCCGGGGAUCAGCCUUGCUUUUGCAUGGUGUACUUUCUGGUUGACGGGUCAGCAUCAAUUUUGACCGCUGGAAAAAGACCUGGGGAAUGUGGCAGCUUCGGCUGUGUUAUAGCCCCUAGUCGCAUACAGUGGUUGGGAUUGAGGAACUCAGCAC
RNAcentral lists this ribosomal RNA (534 nucleotides) under Agaricus blazei. RNAcentral's name for it is "LSU rRNA". It matches the Rfam family "Eukaryotic large subunit ribosomal RNA", at positions 67 to 601 of the family's 3401-position model. Lineage: Eukaryota; Fungi; Basidiomycota; Agaricomycetes; Agaricales; Agaricaceae. The record is from RNAcentral.